Molecule: ribosomal RNA, 502 nt
Filed under: uncultured bacterium
Lineage: Bacteria
Description: partial 16S ribosomal RNA
Rfam family: Bacterial small subunit ribosomal RNA
Source: RNAcentral
AUUGAACGCUGGCGGCAGGCUUAACACAUGCAAGUCGAGCGGGGUGAUGGUGCUUGCACUAUCACUUAGCGGCGGACGGGUGAGUAAUGCUUAGGAAUCUGCCUAUUAGUGGGGGACAACAUCUCGAAAGGGAUGCUAAUACCGCAUACGUCCUACGGGAGAAAGCAGGGGAUCUUUAUGACCUUGCGCUAAUAGAUGAGCCUAAGGCGGAUUAGCUAGUUGGUGGGGUAAAGGCCUACCAAGGCGACGAUCUGUAGCGGGUCUGAGAGGAUGAUCCGCCACACUGGGACUGAGACACGGCCCAGACUCCCACGGGAGGCAGCAGUGGGGAAUAUUGGACAAUGGGGUGAACCCUGAUCCAGCCAUGCCGCGUGUGUGAAGAAGGCCUUAUGGUUGUAAAGCACUUUAAGCGAGGAGGAGGCUCUUUUGGUUAAUACCCAGAGUGAGUGGACGUUACUCGCAGAAUAAGCACCGGCUAACCCUGUGCCAGCCGCCGCAGUAA